GACGAACGCUGGCGGCGUGCUUAACACAUGCAAGUCGAACGGAAAGGCCUCUUUCGGGGGGUACUCGAGUGGCGAACGGGUGAGUAACACGUGAGUAACCUGCCCUUGACUUUGGGAUAACUUCAGGAAACUGGGGCUAAUACCGGAUAGGAGCUCCUGCUGCAUGGUGGGGGCUGGAAAGUUUCGGCGGUUGGGGCUGGACUCGCGGCUUAUCAGCUUGUUGGUGGGGUAGUGGCUUACCAAGGCUUUGACGGGUAGCCGGCCUGAGAGGGUGACCGGCCACAUUGGGACUGAGAUACGGCCCAGACUCCUACGGGAGGCAGCAGUGGGGAAUAUUGCACAAUGGGUGGAAGCCUGAUGCAGCAACGCCGUGUGCGGGAUGACGGCCUUCGGGUUGUAAACCGCUUUCGCUCAUGACGAAGCUUUGUGUGACGGUAGUGGGUAAAGAAGCACCGGCUAACUACGUG
Molecule: ribosomal RNA, 467 nt
Filed under: uncultured bacterium
Lineage: Bacteria
Description: partial 16S ribosomal RNA
Rfam family: Bacterial small subunit ribosomal RNA
Source: RNAcentral